RNAcentral lists this ribosomal RNA (402 nucleotides) under uncultured bacterium. Its description in RNAcentral is "bacterial SSU rRNA". It matches the Rfam family "Bacterial small subunit ribosomal RNA", at positions 28 to 430 of the family's 1533-position model. The record is from RNAcentral.
GACGAACGCUGGCGGCGUGCUUAACACAUGCAAGUCGAGCGGUAAGGCCCUUUCGGGGGUACGACGAGCGGCGAACGGGUGAGUAACACGUGGGUGACCUGCCCUCAGCUCUGGGAGUAAGCCUGGGAAACGUAGGGUCUAAUACUGGAUAUGACUCCACGGUGCAUGUCGUGGGGUGGAAAGCCUUGUGCGGCUGAGGAUGGGCCCGCGGCCUAUCAGCUUGUUGGUGGGGUGAGGCCUACCAAGGCGACGACGGGUAGCCGGCCUGAGAGGGCGACCGGCCACACUGGGACUGAGACACGGCCCAGACUCCUACGGGAGGCAGCAGGUGGGGAAUCUUGCGCAAUGGGCGAAAGCCUGACGCAGCGACGCCGCGUGAGGGAUGACGGCCUGGUUGUAACU